GGGUAGCCGGCCUGAGAGGGCGACCGGCCACACUGGGACCGAGACACGGCCCAGACUCCUACGGGAGGCAGCAGUGGGGAAUAUUGCACAAUGGGGGAAACCCUGAUGCAGCGACGCAGCGUGCGGGAUGACGGCCUUCGGGUUGUAAACCGCUUUCAGCAGGGAAGAAGCGCAAGUGACGGUACCUGCAGAAGAAGUACCGGCUAACUACGUGCCAGCAGCCGCGGUAAUACGUAGGGUACGAGCGUUGUCCGGAAUUAUUGGGCAUAAAGAGCUCGUAGGUGGUUGGUCACGUCUGCUGUGGAAACGCAACGCUUAACGUUGCGCGGGCAGUGGGUACGGGCUGACUAGAGUGCAGUAGGGGAGUCUGGAAUUCCUGGUGUAGCGGUGAAAUGCGCAGAUAUCAGGAGGAACACCGGUGGCGAAGGCGGGACUCUGGGCUGUAACUGACACUGAGGAGCGAAAGCAUGGGGAGCGAACAGGAUUAGAUACCCUGGUAGUCCAUGCCGUAAACGUUGGGCACUAGGUGUGGGGGGCAUUCCACGUUCUCCGCGUCGUAGCUAACGCAUUAAGUGCCCCGCCUGGGCGWGUACGGCCGCAAGGCUAAAACUCAAAGGAAUUGACGGGGGCCCGCACAAGCGGCGGAGCAUGCGGAUCAAUUCGAUGCAACGCGAAGAACCUUACCAAGGCUUGACAUACACCAGACCGUUCUGGAAACAGUUCCUCCCCUUUGGGGUUGGUGUACAGGUGG
This 751-nucleotide ribosomal RNA is filed under the name uncultured Actinomycetes bacterium. Its description in RNAcentral is "bacterial SSU rRNA". It matches the Rfam family "Bacterial small subunit ribosomal RNA", at positions 281 to 1041 of the family's 1533-position model. The record is from RNAcentral. Lineage: Bacteria; Bacillati; Actinomycetota; Actinomycetes.